This 97-nucleotide microRNA precursor is filed under the name Mustela putorius furo (domestic ferret). Its description in RNAcentral is "miRNA (ENSMPUG00000021978.1)". The record is from RNAcentral. Lineage: Eukaryota; Metazoa; Chordata; Mammalia; Carnivora; Mustelidae.
UCUUCCUCUUCCUCCUCCUCUUCCUCCUCCUCUGGCUCCUUCAGCAGCUCUUUGGCUUCUGUCCACUCCUGAGCGGUUGGAAGGAGAGCAUGGCCCA